This 460-nucleotide ribosomal RNA is filed under the name uncultured bacterium. RNAcentral describes it as "partial 16S ribosomal RNA". It matches the Rfam family "Bacterial small subunit ribosomal RNA", at positions 338 to 795 of the family's 1533-position model. The record is from RNAcentral.
CCUACGGGUGGCAGCAGUGAGGAAUAUUGGUCAAUGGGCGCGAGCCUGAACCAGCCAAGUAGCGUGAAGGAUGACUGCCCUACGGGGUGUAAACUUCUUUUAUAAAGGAAUAAAGUGAGGCACGUUUGCCUUUUUGUAUGUACUUUAUGAAUAAGGAUCGGCUAAUUCCGUGCCAGCAGCCGCGGUAAUACGGAGGCUCCGAGCUUUAUCCGGAUUUAUUGGGUUUAAAGGGGGCGUAGAUGGGUUGUUAAGUCGGUGGUGAAAGUUUGCGGUGAAACCGUAAAAGUGCAAUUGAUACUGGCAGCCUGGAGUACAGUUGAGGUAGGCGGAAUUCGUGGUGUAGCGGUGAAAUGCUUAGAUAUCACAAAGAACUCCGAUUGCGAAGGCAGCCUACGAAACUGCCACUGACAUUGAUGCUCGAAAGUGUGGGUAUCAAACAGGAUUAGAUACCCUAGUAGUC